Molecule: transfer RNA, 75 nt
Filed under: Candidatus Dormiibacterota bacterium
Lineage: Bacteria; Bacillati; Candidatus Dormiibacterota
Also listed under: 3 other names
Description: tRNA-Ala
Rfam family: tRNA
About the family: Transfer RNA (tRNA) molecules are approximately 80 nucleotides in length.
Source: RNAcentral
GGGGCCGUGGCGCAGCGGCAGCGCGCUUCCUUGGCAUGGAAGAGGUCGAGGGUUCGAUUCCCUCCGGCUCCACCA